Long non-coding RNA from Herpailurus yagouaroundi (jaguarundi), 218 nucleotides. RefSeq lists it as uncharacterized. NCBI's taxonomy places the organism in Eukaryota, Metazoa, Chordata, Mammalia, Carnivora, Felidae. The record is from RefSeq and is a predicted model, not a curated record. The transcript has 3 exons.
UUGUGUGUGUGUGUGUGUGUGUAGGGUGGGUUUCGUACAUAUUUCCAAGAGGUUGUAAACCUGUUGUUAACUAGACAGCACAGCUUUUGUUUGGUAUUUCUGAAAAUGAAUCAUCUCACUUCUCACACUUGGCUAGACCAUCAGGGUAGCUGGCUGAGUGUUUGAGAACAGAUCAAAGUAUUAAUGAAGUAUAUGUUAGAGUUGUGGAAAGGAAGUAA